GACGACCAUAGAGCGUUGGAACCACCUGAUCCCAUCCCGAACUCAGCAGUGAAACGAUGCAUCGCCGAUGGUAGUGUGGGGAUUCCCCAUGUGAGAGUAGGUCAUCGUCAAGAU
Molecule: ribosomal RNA, 114 nt
Filed under: Pseudomonas fluorescens
Lineage: Bacteria; Pseudomonadati; Pseudomonadota; Gammaproteobacteria; Pseudomonadales; Pseudomonadaceae
Source: RNAcentral